GACGAACGCUGGCGGCGUGCUUAACACAUGCAAGUCGAACGGAAAGGCCCUGCUUUUGUGGGGUGCUCGAGUGGCGAACGGGUGAGUAACACGUGAGUAACCUGCCCUUGACUUUGGGAUAACUUCAGGAAACUGGGGCUAAUACCGGAUAGGAGCUCCUGCUGCAUGGUGGGGGUUGGAAAGUUUCGGCGGUUGGGGAUGGACUCGCGGCUUAUCAGCUUGUUGGUGGGGUAGUGGCUUACCAAGGCUUUGACGGGUAGCCGGCCUGAGAGGGUGACCGGCCACAUUGGGACUGAGAUACGGCCCAGACUCCUACGGGAGGCAGCAGUGGGGAAUAUUGCACAAUGGGCGGAAGCCUGAUGCAGCAACGCCGCGUGCGGGAUGACGGCCUUCGGGUUGUAAACCGCUUUCGCCUGUGACGAAGCGUGAGUGACGGUAAUGGGUAAAGAAGCACCGGCUAACUACGUGCCAGCAGCCGCGGUGAUACGUAGGGUGCGAGCGUUGUCCGGAUUUAUUGGGCGUAAAGGGCUCGUAGGUGGUUGAUCGCGUCGGAAGUGUAAUCUUGGGGCUUAACCCUGAGCGUGCUUUCGAUACGGGUUGACUUGAGGAAGGUAGGGGAGAAUGGAAUUCCUGGUGGAGCGGUGGAAUGCGCAGAUAUCAGGAGGAACACCAGUGGCGAAGGCGGUUCUCUGGGCCUUUCCUGACGCUGAGGAGCGAAAGCGUGGGGAGCGAACAGGCUUAGAUACCCUGGUAGUCCACGCUGUAAACGGUGGGUACUAGGUGUGGGGUCCAUUCCACGGGUUCCGUGCCGUAGCUAACGCUUUAAGUACCCCGCCUGGGGAGUACGGCCGCAAGGCUAAAACUCAAAGGAAUUGACGGGGCCCCGCACAAGCGGCGGAGCAUGCGGAUUAAUUCGAUGCAACGCGUAGAACCUUACCUGGGUUUGACAUGGAUCGGGAGCGCUCAGAGAUGGGUGUGCCUCUUUUGGGGUCGGUUCACAGGUGGUGCAUGGCUGUCGUCAGCUCGUGUCGUGAGAUGUUGGGUUAAGUCCCGCAACGAGCGCAACCCUUGUUCACUGUUGCCAGCACGUUAUGGUGGGGACUCAGUGGAGACCACCGGGGUCAACUCGGAGGAAGGUGGGGAUGACGUCAAGUCAUCAUGCCCCUUAUGUCCAGGGCUUCACGCAUGCUACAAUGGCUGGUACAGAGAGUGGCGAGCCUGUGAGGGUGAGCGAAUCUCGGAAAGCCGGUCUCAGUUCGGAUUGGGGUCUGCAACUCGACCUCAUGAAGUCGGAGUCGCUAGUAAUCGCAGAUCAGCAACGCUGCGGUGAAUACGUUCCCGGGGCU
This 1346-nucleotide ribosomal RNA is filed under the name uncultured bacterium. RNAcentral describes it as "bacterial SSU rRNA". It matches the Rfam family "Bacterial small subunit ribosomal RNA", at positions 28 to 1381 of the family's 1533-position model. The record is from RNAcentral.